CUCUCACCCAUCUCAACCUCAAGCCCCCGGCCAGACUACCCUUCCCUUCGAUCACCUGCACAGCGCCAGCGUGCAGGGAUUUAUACUAUUGAUUUCAUCAAGUUUUGCAACUAAAGUUUAGUCAGCCAAUAAAUUCUGUGGAUGCUAGUGUUGUCGUCACACUUGAGAACUACUCUAUAUUGGUUUUGUCAGAAAGAAUGAUGGAGAUAGAAUCAAUUUCCAAGGGAGAUGAGGAUAUUGGCUACAACAGCAGCAAUGUAAAGAAGGCAAAACUGCAGUCAACACUCGCAGCUCUUCUUGAUGAUCCUAUUCUCACUGAUCUCCCUAAGAAACCGACCUUAUCCGAUGUUGAUACUCUCAUUAGCGUUGAAUUGGGCAGUGCUAUGCGCAUCUCCGUCCUCAAACUAGAUGGCACCUCCUUUGAUGUGGCAGUGAUGAAUUCGGCAACAGUCAAAGAUUUGAAGCUUGCGAUCAAGAGGAAAGUGAUUGAAAUGGAGCAAUCCAAGAUGGGUCAUCGCCAUAUUUCGUGGAAGCAUGUUUGGGCAAAUUUUGCCAUAUCCUACCACAAUCAAAAGCUCCUUGAUGACAACUCUGCACUUCAUGGUUUUGGCAUCUGCACUAAUUCUCAGGUUAAUUUUGCCCCCUAUAUCAUGUCAAAGGGUUUUGGAAAGCAUUCCAGGCGAAGAAAACAUCGUUUCUUUCAUGGGCUUAACAACCUUGGCUAAUCACUUGAUUCAUACUGUUUCCCCUAAUGCUGCUACUGCAGCUGUGGAACUCUCCCCGAGUCUUCUUGGCUAACAAGUUUCUUUGCAUCAUGUUGUCCCGGAGAUCGAUUCCUUGUUGCUUGUUCAGGCUAUUCGAGGAGGUACCAUGCGGUGGAUGCUUCUUAUUGGAAUGAAUUGUU
RNAcentral lists this unclassified non-coding RNA (904 nucleotides) under Hevea brasiliensis (rubber tree). Lineage: Eukaryota; Viridiplantae; Streptophyta; Magnoliopsida; Malpighiales; Euphorbiaceae. The record is from RNAcentral.